Molecule: ribosomal RNA, 440 nt
Filed under: uncultured bacterium
Lineage: Bacteria
Description: bacterial SSU rRNA
Rfam family: Bacterial small subunit ribosomal RNA
Source: RNAcentral
CCUACGGGUGGCUGCAGUGAGGAAUCUUCCACAAUGGGCGAAAGCCUGAUGGAGCAACGCCGCGUGAAGGAUGAAGGUCUUCGGAUUGUAAACUUCUUUUAUGAGUGAAGAAUAUGACGGUAACUCAUGAAUAAGCACCGGCUAACUACGUGCCAGCAGCCGCGGUCAUACGUAGGGUGCAAGCAUUAUCCGGAGUGACUGGGCGUAAAGAGUUGCGUAGGCGGUUAUGUAAGCGAAUAGUGAAACCUGGUGGCUCAACCACACAGACUAUUAUUCGAACUGCAUAACUCGAGAAUGGUAGAGGUAACUGGAAUUUCUUGUGUAGGAGUGAAAUCCGUAGAUAUAAGAAGGAACACCAAUGGCGUAGGCAGGUUACUGGGCCAUUUCUGACGCUAAGGCACGAAAGCGUGGGGAGCGAACCGGAUUAGAUACCCGGGUAG